RNAcentral lists this long non-coding RNA (1950 nucleotides) under Homo sapiens (human). Its description in RNAcentral is "non-protein coding lnc-PKD1L1-1:1". The record is from RNAcentral. Lineage: Eukaryota; Metazoa; Chordata; Mammalia; Primates; Hominidae.
CUAUUCUGUAAAUGUUCAAUGAACUAGAGAAUGAUUCUUGGGUAGUUAAUAUUGUCAAUGUUGAUGAACUCUUUUCCUUCGCUGAAAGCAGCUACUUUGUUGGAGGUUUCAAUUCUGCGUGGCAAUUUGCAGCAUUUCUAGUGGUACUGCUCCACAUUUUACAGCUUUAUGAAGAAGGUGUUUACUUUUUUUGAAAUUACCUUGAGACAUUUCAAACUGUGCAGAAGAUAUAUGCACAAAAGCAAAUGUCUUGCAGUUUGCUAUAGCCACUUAUACAUCAUCUGGCUCUUGAAUAGCUUUAAUUCAGCUGUUGAAUCUCACUUGAAUUUGAGCAAAACCUUCAUCUUUAUAUGUAUCUGGACAAAUUACUUCAAUUGCUUGACAGUAAUGACCAAUCAAUUUAUUUAAAAUAGUAUCAUUUAGUAGGACAGUGUUUUUCUCUGGUUUGAGCAACGAAUUCAACCAGUCCUCUGGGUUGAUCAUCAUCAUCAUCAUCAUUUGGUUAUCAGUUCCUGAGUUAUUUUUACCAGGGAGUUUUAUACCUUUAGACAGCUAUUUUGAAUUAUCUCAGGAAUGUCAUAUAUCUCUGCCUCUUUAGAGUCAGUCACUGGCACUUUGUCUGUUUGGUGACAUCAUGUUUCCCUGACUGUUCUUCAUCUUUGUAGUUAUACAUUGAUAUCUGUGCAUUGAAUAUGUAGGUAUUUAUAAACAGUCUUUGCAAUCUGGCUUUGUCUGUGAUUGUCCUUGUAUAGUAGGUCUGUCCAGAAAUUGUAAGCAUACUGUCUUUUUUGGUCUUUAAGCCCGUGAACGCUACAGCCCGUGUAGUGCCAAAUGGUGCCCUAAGCCCAGGUUCCCUGCAGUCCACUCUGUGAUUUGUUUGUUGACUGCUGUGAGCCCCACCCCCAUUCUUUGUUUCUAAUUUACACCUAGCAGGCUAACCCUGCUGGCACCUGCAGUGCUUCCAGGGGGAAAGGACCAUAGUGUGCCCCUGUGAAGAGUCUCAGAAUGGUGCGGAAGGUGAAUGCCCACCUCCCGCUCUCUUUUCCCACUGUAGAAACUGAUUCCAGAGAAAUUCUCCAAGUGCGGUGCUAUGUGGGCUUGCGGGAGAGGUGUUAUGAUCAAACAGAACCAUUCUCUUUACCCUCUGUUCAUGGUUUUUCUUGGCUCUGUGGUCCAGUGAGUUGUCACAGCUUCACUCCCAAUUUCUGGGAUAUUCAGGGCAAUAAUCUUGCCACUGGGUAUUUGCUAGUUGAAAUUAUGUGGUAGGGAGAGAAGCCAGUAAGCUUCACUUCUCCGUUUGGCUGAUGUCACUCUCGAAUUCUGUACUUUCAUACGGAUUGUAAUAGGGAGGGUCUAAAAGGAAGCUUCAGUUUUGGAUUUUUAGAGCUUCUUCUAAGUACAAUUGUUGAAUCAAGAGGUAAAAAUGGUAUGUUAUAACUGGAAAUACGCUGAGAUUAAAAAGGAGAUAAAUUAGCCCCAUUGGGACAGUGCUAUUGGGAAUGUGAAUUGAUACCACUUUCCUGGAGUCUAGUUUAGUAUUUAUUUUAUAUGUAAUGCCUGAAAAGAUGUGUGUCUCCUUUGACUCAAUACUUAUAGGAAUUUACACAAAGGUUAUAAUCAAAGAUUAUAGAACUGUUAUACUGGAAAAACACGAAAUAUUCUAAUUAUGAAUUAAUUGGGGAUUGGUUAAAUAAACUAUGGUUUGAUAUGCUCUAAAAAUAAUGUUACAGAAAAAAGUGUACUGAUAUGGCAAAAUGUAUGACUUAUAGUUAAAAAAGCAGGUUAGAUGUUGAUAGAUACAGUAUGAUAGAAAAAGAUCAGGAAGGUAUAUGCUGACAUUUAAAUCUGGAUAUUUAUGAGUGUUUUUUUUAUUUCAAUCUUUGUACAUGCAUGUAUUUUCUAGAAAUUGUAUUACUAUCUUUGUAAUAAAGUAAAUUAUUUUUAAGGGAC